RNAcentral lists this ribosomal RNA (440 nucleotides) under uncultured bacterium. Its description in RNAcentral is "partial 16S ribosomal RNA". It matches the Rfam family "Bacterial small subunit ribosomal RNA", at positions 338 to 795 of the family's 1533-position model. The record is from RNAcentral.
CCUACGGGUGGCAGCAGUGAGGAAUAUUGGUCAAUGGGGGAAACCCUGAUGCAGCGACGCCGCGUGAGUGAAGAAGUAUCUCGGUACGUAAAGCUCUAUCAGCAGGGAAGAAAAUGACGGUACCUGACUAAGAAGCCCCGGCUAACUACGUGCCAGCAGUCGCGGUAAUACGUAGGGGGCAAGCGUUAUCCGGAUUUACUGGGUGUAAAGGGAGCGUAGACGGCAGCACAAGUCUGGAGUGAAAUCCCGGGGCUUAGCCCCGGAACUGCUUUGGCAACUGUGCGGCUGGAGUGCAGGAGGGGUAAGCGGAAUUCCUAGUGUAGCGGUGAAAUGCGUAGAUAUUAGGAGGAACACCGGUGGCGAAGGCGGCUUACUGGACUGUAACUGACGUUGAGGCUCGAAAGCGUGGGGAGCAAACAGGAUUAGAUACCCCGAUAGUC